RNAcentral lists this long non-coding RNA (1328 nucleotides) under Rattus norvegicus (Norway rat). RNAcentral describes it as "long non-coding RNA NONRATT000861". The record is from RNAcentral. Lineage: Eukaryota; Metazoa; Chordata; Mammalia; Rodentia; Muridae.
GGAGGCCACUCUUCAGUUACUGGGACAGCCCCCUGCCCAAGAGGGGAGCUCUAAGGCCCAGGGCAUGCGGUAGCCCCAACAGGAGGCUGGGGGCCUCUACCCAAGAGCAGACCAACCAGGAAGCAGCUUCAACCAGAUGGAGACGGUUUCAGUUCAGGACUAACCAGAGAAGGUGCCCGAAGGAGGCCUAUCUUGGGGGACCUCUCUGAGUAGUUACCUCAUUGGAAGGCUUUGGGCACAUGACCUGUUGGCCUCCUCUUCUUCCCUUAUCACCCAGGGCUCCCAGGCCCCAAGCGGGGCCCACCUCCAAGUGCCUGGUGGCCUAGGCCCUCAUUUAAGUUUACACUUGCCACUGCUGGGGGCUCCUGAGUCCUCUGCAUGAGUUCUGCACUCUGCCCUUGCCCCAGUCACCACACAAGCAAAUGUUGCACUCUGGGGCAUUUACCUUUUUACCCUUGCUUUUUUAUCCUGCCCCUCUCCCUGUCCUCAGGGCCCUAGACUUCCUGUGGGGUCUAGCCUUGUGACUCUCAGGGUUUCAUCUCCAUUCAGCUUCAUUCAUCACAGUUUAUCCUGCCACUAACCUGUCCUGAGUCCCUGGGCCCCAGAGCUCUCUGGAGCCCGUCACGUCUUUGUGCAGUGUUUUUUGAUGGUACAUGUUCUUGUCACUUUGCACUUACUUGUUUCCCGUGCUGCCUUGCACACAUGCCCAUCCCCCCCACCCCACAGGCUUUGAGCCCAAUUCAGUCUGCUGCCUGCCCUUCACUGGCUUGUGCUGGUCUCUUUGUCCAAGGGCUCCUUCCAUCUUGCCCUUGCACCCUACCCACCAAUGCUGGGUGAGGAACAGCCUCUCUGGCUUCACCCUACCCUAGUGCCCACUCCCCUGGUUCUCUCAGGUUCUCUGCUCAGGAGGAGGGAGACAGCAUGAGAACCUGUGAGCAGCUGUUGGGGCGGGGGAUUGACCUUGAGGUGCCUUGUCCUCUGUUCUGAAAAAAGUGAGGUUGCAGUAAAUGUCACAGCUCUGUCCUCAAGGACUAGAAGACCGGGACUCUUCCUCAUGCAGGGGAGGGGGGACGGUGGGGCACAGGUGUUCUUAGAGGGUCGAGAUCCAUUCACAUGCUUGUGUAGAAAAAGAUUAUCUUGAUGCCUACCUCCCACCAUUUGCUCUUGGUCCUGGGGCUCAACUCCAGAUGCUCCGGUGUGAGUUCCCGGGGAAUCUCUGUGCUGGAUACCCUUUCUAGAUGCCCUUCCUUGAGACAUGGGAUGGGGUGGUCUGGAGCUAGCCUGCUCCCCUUGCUGUGCAAUAAAGGCAGCAGCUGUGUGUCCUGUUU